GUUAAGCGACUAAGCGUACACGGUGGAUGCCCUGGCAGUCAGAGGCGAUGAAGGGCGUGCUAAUCUGCGAUAAGCGCCGGUAAGGUGAUAUGAACCGUUAUAACCGGCGAUACCCGAAUGGGGAAACCCAGUGUGAUUCGUCACACUAUCAUUAACUGAAUCCAUAGGUUAAUGAGGCGAACCGGGGGAACUGAAACAUCUAAGUACCCCGAGGAAAAGAAAUCAACCGAGAUUCCCCCAGUAGCGGCGAGCGAACGGGGAGGAGCCCAGAGCCUGAAUCAGCAUGUGUGUUAGUGGAAGCGUCUGGAAAGGUGCGCGAUACAGGGUGACAGCCCCGUACACAAAAGCGCAUGUGCUGUGAGCUCGAUGAGUAGGGCGGGACACGUGGUAUCCUGUCUGAAUAUGGGGGGACCAUCCUCCAAGGCUAAAUACUCCUGACUGACCGAUAGUGAACCAGUACCGUGAGGGAAAGGCGAAAAGAACCCCGGCGAGGGGAGUGAAAAAGAACCUGAAACCGUGUACGUACAAGCAGUGGGAGCACAGGUUUACCUGUGUGACUGCGUACCUUUUGUAUAAUGGGUCAGCGACUUAUAUUCUGUAGCAAGGUUAACCGUAUAGGGGAGCCGUAGGGAAACCGAGUCUUAACCGGGCGUUAAGUUGCAGGGUAUAGACCCGAAACCCGGUGAUCUAGCCAUGGGCAGGUUGAAGGUUGGGUAACACUAACUGGAGGACCGAACCGACUAAUGUUGAAAAAUUAGCGGAUGACCUGUGGCUGGGGGUGAAAGGCCAAUCAAACCGGGAGAUAGCUGGUUCUCCCCGAAAGCUAUUUAGGUAGCGCCUCGUGAAUUCAUCUCCGGGGGUAGAGCACUGUUUCGGCUAGGGGGCCAUCCCGGCUUACCAACCCGAUGCAAACUGCGAAUACCGGAGAAUGUUAUCACGGGAGACACACGGCGGGUGCUAACGUCCGUCGUGAAGAGGGAAACAACCCAGACCGCCAGCUAAGGUCCCAAAGUCAUGGUUAAGUGGGAAACGAUGUGGGAAGGCCCAGACAGCCAGGAUGUUGGCUUAGAAGCAGCCAUCAUUUAAAGAAAGCGUAAUAGCUCACUGGUCGAGUCGGCCUGCGCGGAAGAUGUAACGGGGCUAAACCAUGCACCGAAGCUGCGGCAGCGAACGUAUCACCCAAGACAACUUUACGGAGUUGACGAUUGACGGAGCGAAGCGACGUCAAAGCGUUCAUUAAAGUCGAGUUGGCUUAGGGAUACGUUCGUUGGGUAGGGGAGCGUUCUGUAAGCCUGUGAAGGUGUGUCGUGAGGCAUGCUGGAGGUAUCAGAAGUGCGAAUGCUGACAUAAGUAACGAUAAAGCGGGUGAAAAGCCCGCUCGCCGGAAGACCAAGGGUUCCUGUCCAACGUUAAUCGGGGCAGGGUGAGUCGACCCCUAAGGCGAGGCCGAAAGGCGUAGUCGAUGGGAAACGGGUUAAUAUUCCCGUACUUGGUGUUACUGCGAAGGGGGGACGGAGAAGGCUAUGUUGGCCGGGCGACGGUUGUCCCGGUUUAAGCGUGUAGGUGUGUGUUCCAGGUAAAUCCGGUUCACUUUAACACUGAGGCGUGACGACGAGGCACUACGGUGCUGAAGCAACAAAUGCCCUGCUUCCAGGAAAAGCCUCUAAGCAUCAGGUAACACGAAAUCGUACCCCAAACCGACACAGGUGGUCAGGUAGAGAAUACCAAGGCGCUUGAGAGAACUCGGGUGAAGGAACUAGGCAAAAUGGUGCCGUAACUUCGGGAGAAGGCACGCUGACACGUAGGUGAAGUGAUUUACUCAUGGAGCUGAAGUCAGUCGAAGAUACCAGCUGGCUGCAACUGUUUAUUAAAAACACAGCACUGUGCAAACACGAAAGUGGACGUAUACGGUGUGACGCCUGCCCGGUGCCGGAAGGUUAAUUGAUGGGGUCAGCGUAAGCGAAGCUCCUGAUCGAAGCCCCGGUAAACGGCGGCCGUAACUAUAACGGUCCUAAGGUAGCGAAAUUCCUUGUCGGGUAAGUUCCGACCUGCACGAAUGGCGUAAUGAUGGCCAGGCUGUCUCCACCCGAGACUCAGUGAAAUUGAACUCGCUGUGAAGAUGCAGUGUACCCGCGGCAAGACGGAAAGACCCCGUGAACCUUUACUAUAGCUUGACACUGAACAUUGAGCCUUGAUGUGUAGGAUAGGUGGGAGGCUUUGAAGUGUGGACGCCAGUCUGCAUGGAGCCGACCUUGAAAUACCACCCUUUAAUGUUUGAUGUUCUAACGUGGACCCGUAAUCCGGGUUGCGGACAGUGUCUGGUGGGUAGUUUGACUGGGGCGGUCUCCUCCUAAAGAGUAACGGAGGAGCACGAAGGUUGGCUAAUCCUGGUCGGACAUCAGGAGGUUAGUGCAAUGGCAUAAGCCAGCUUGACUGCGAGCGUGACGGCGCGAGCAGGUGCGAAAGCAGGUCAUAGUGAUCCGGUGGUUCUGAAUGGAAGGGCCAUCGCUCAACGGAUAAAAGGUACUCCGGGGAUAACAGGCUGAUACCGCCCAAGAGUUCAUAUCGACGGCGGUGUUUGGCACCUCGAUGUCGGCUCAUCACAUCCUGGGGCUGAAGUAGGUCCCAAGGGUAUGGCUGUUCGCCAUUUAAAGUGGUACGCGAGCUGGGUUUAGAACGUCGUGAGACAGUUCGGUCCCUAUCUGCCGUGGGCGCUGGAGAACUGAGGGGGGCUGCUCCUAGUACGAGAGGACCGGAGUGGACGCAUCACUGGUGUUCGGGUUGUCAUGCCAAUGGCACUGCCCGGUAGCUAAAUGCGGAAGAGAUAAGUGCUGAAAGCAUCUAAGCACGAAACUUGCCCCGAGAUGAGUUCUCCCUGAGACUUAGAGUCUCCUGAAGGAACGUUGAAGACGACGACGUUGAUAGGCCGGGUGUGUAAGCGCAGCGAUGCGUUGAGCUAACCGGUACUAAUGAACCGUGAGGCUUAACCUUACA
Molecule: ribosomal RNA, 2994 nt
Filed under: Salmonella enterica subsp. enterica serovar Typhimurium str. DT104
Lineage: Bacteria; Pseudomonadati; Pseudomonadota; Gammaproteobacteria; Enterobacterales; Enterobacteriaceae
Description: bacterial LSU rRNA
Rfam family: Bacterial large subunit ribosomal RNA
Source: RNAcentral